This 441-nucleotide unclassified non-coding RNA is filed under the name Ixodes scapularis (black-legged tick). Its description in RNAcentral is "alpha-tocopherol transfer protein-like, transcript variant X1". Lineage: Eukaryota; Metazoa; Arthropoda; Arachnida; Ixodida; Ixodidae. The record is from RNAcentral.
GUGAAGUUCCUGCGCGGCCGCAAGUACCGCGUGGAAGAAGCCUUCAAGAUCAUCCGCAAGUAUUUCCGGGUCCGUUUGGAAUACACGGACAUUUUCGAUAAUCUACUGCCAUCACGCAUCAUGUUUGAUGCGAUAUUCCGCCGACACAAGCUGCUGACUCUUCUCAAGAAACCCGAUCCUCAGGGGAGGCGAAUAACCCUUUUCAAGCUGGGAAUGCUACCCACUCAGGAUCAAGGGUAUCUACUUAGUGAACAAUCCUGAAGUAUUUCAGCUCCUGUACGCAGUCGUCAAGUUGUUUCUGAACGCGAAGAUCAUCAAAAGGGUUCACUUUAUUGGACGCGACUACGACCAGCUUCAUAAACUUGUCCCCCGCGAACUGCUGCCCGAAGAAUACGGUGGUACCCUGGACAACUACGACUACGACGAGCUUGAGCGGGCCUU